RNAcentral lists this ribosomal RNA (438 nucleotides) under uncultured bacterium. RNAcentral's name for it is "partial 16S ribosomal RNA". It matches the Rfam family "Bacterial small subunit ribosomal RNA", at positions 339 to 795 of the family's 1533-position model. The record is from RNAcentral.
CUACGGGAUGCAGCAGUGAGGAAUAUUGCACAAUGGGGGGAACCCUGAUGCAGCAACGCCGCGUGGAGGAUGACGCAUUUCGGUGUGUAAACUCCUUUUAUAUGUCAAGAAAAUGACGGUAGCAUAUGAAUAAGCACCGGCUAACUCCGUGCCAGCAGCCGCGGUAAUACGGAGGGUGCAAGCGUUACUCGGAAUCACUGGGCGUAAAGGACGCGUAGGCGGGUUGGAAAGUCAGGUGUGAAUUCCUACAGCUUAACUGUAGAACUGCACUUGAAACUUCUAAUCUAGAGUAUGGGAGGGGGAGAUGGAAUUAGUGGUGUAGGGGUAAAAUCCGUAGAUAUCACUAGGAAUACCUAAAGCGAAGGCGAUCUCCUGGAACAUUACUGACGCUAAGGCGUGAAAGCGUGGGGAGCAAACAGGAUAGAUACCCCCGUAGUC